Long non-coding RNA from Varroa destructor (honeybee mite), 5851 nucleotides. RefSeq lists it as uncharacterized. Lineage: Eukaryota; Metazoa; Arthropoda; Arachnida; Mesostigmata; Varroidae. The record is from RefSeq and is a predicted model, not a curated record.
CUGAAAUGUUCGCCACAUUAGAAACUUGAUCAAAUUCUGUUAACAGCGCAUCGUGUCCUAUUGCCGCUAGUAGUCUGUGCUCGAUUGGUAUUCGAGUAAAUGCGAUACUCCCAACAUUUUCAUUUUCUACUUGUUUUUAUGAAUAUUCAUUCGCAAACAAAUGAUCCUGUUGGCGUCCUCCGCGUGCAGUCUCUCUUUGGCCUGGUUAGGGCAUGAAUAUAGUAACCUGCUAUGGAUAUACCAUAUACAUGGCCAGGCGCUAGGCAUCAGAUUAAUCCCAGCUUAGGCGCAAACGUAGCUGACGGAUGAAGAGGCCUGAUAUAAUGCGCGAGCUCAGAGAAGUUUUUCUUCUACAUGGAACGGGAACAAAAGCCAGCAGAAUAAUGUUUUGAACGGCUGAUAGCGAAGAGUUUAUGGAGAUUAGGAUCGCUCGACGUUAUUCGUUCCAAGUCGAUCAUCAAGAAGCUUUGUCAAAGCUAAGAUAGAUACCAGAAAAACUAAAAAAAUAUGAGAAAAAUGGAGCGUAUAGUAUAUAGCCCAAUACGGGUAUACGUGUCUCAUAUACGAGAAAGUGGGUUUACCGUUUAUCGUAAAUGGUCGAGGGAAGUUGUACGUGAAUUCGGAGGAUAAGUGUAAGCCACCCCAAGCAACUUAAAGCUUUGUUCCAGUAUGUACUCUUCUAUUGACACCAUGAUUAAUUGUUCCUGACGGAAACGAAAGCUUCAAGAGGAAAGUAUCUGCUGUUUAGUUGUGCAAACUGAUUAAAAUACGUAUCAUAUAUUAAAACUUUGUCUACAGAGCUCGUACCAGUAAAUAUAUAUAAAGAAUAUUGUAACAAAAUGUGGUUGGCUUUAAAGGGCAUCAAAAGUGACUAUUUUCAUUUUGUUUCGCUAUCAGACGAUAUGAAACUCGGAACUCAACGUUAUCUGCGGCGCAAAAAUUAUAUUAAGGGCAAUUCUAGAUAAAUUUUCUUUAAUUCACUUAAAAUUAAUCAACUCAUUUUAAUUCUAUUUAUCUAUAUUUACAAAUCUAAUUAAUGCUACUACCGCUUAAAGUUAUAUUCACUAAUAGGACGUUUCAAUGUCACCACCUGACUAACGAUUAAGCCCCUGUCGACAGCCUAAUGAUUUGACCUGUCGUCGUUUUCGAAGCACCGCAAAGUUGUCCGCUACUUUUCGAUAUCAAUGUUUGACACCAAUACAACAAUGCGCGAUAAACUUUCGCAAAGACUGCUAUAAUAGAAAUCGUAAAACUGAACCGCCUAUAGGCCUUUUCCUAUGACUUGCGAAGCAAUUUUCUUCUAUUGAUCGAUUGGCCUAUUUGCAAAAAUAACGAAGGCAAGGUUACAUCCACAUACUUUAGCUGCUACUAUAGGGUUGGCCAUUAUAUAUGUAUGUACAUAUAGGCAAAGCCUUAGGAAAAAUAAGCCAUUAGGAGAAAUUUAGCUUUGUUGUCGCUGAAAAACGAAUGCACAUAUAUCAUAAUGGUACAAACAAAAUGUGAAAUUCUGAAUAGAUACGUUUUUUUUUAUGGCUAUAUAGGCGCAGAACGAGGGUUCGAAGGGCGUGCGUACCUACUAGACAUUGCCAAAACAAAGUCAGUCCACUUGCACAAGACACACACAAACACAUACACACAAAUAUAUAUAUAUAUAUAUAUAUAUAUAUAUAUAUAUAUAGCUGUCUUAGACGAAUCCGGCUGAGCUUGAAAUUAUUUAUACGUUAGAGGUACUCUUUUUUAUUACUACCACAUUUUGUCCAUGCGUUUUUCUAGACAGUUAGGUACCUUCCGUUCGCUUUCCUAUAUGUGAUCUCUUUGCCUAUGAUUUCUCAAAAUAAAUCCUCAAAAGGACAACCUCGUAGCUACACGAACUUAGAUCGGGACAAUAAGUGAGUUAAAGCUAACGUUGAAUAUUUCAUUACUCAAUUCAUUAAAUAUUUGGGACACGGUCCAACAUUGUCGCCAGGUAACCAGGCUGUACGCUUUUUGUUGCCUUGCCAAUGGGAUAUGGGUAUUUCGAAAUGGCCAGCUGUAUGCACUGUCAGCGAAUGUUUUAUAGUAAAAUGUUUUAUAGUAAAAUUUACAGUAAAAAAAAAAAAAAAAAGUACCGAAUAUCCACUGCAAGUACAGUCAUCCGCUGCCACCCAAAUCGAUCUUUUUUGCGCCAUUCUCUCGCCUGAUCGCUCUCCGUCUGACGAUAAAGAUGCAUUCUUGGUCUGCAGCAGCCAUAUGUUCCAUGCUGCUUUUUUAUUAAUUAAAGGUCCGCAUGUUGCAUUGGAAUACAUAACCUGCAUUCUUAACCAGCCUGGAAUCGAUUCACGGGCGACAUAUUCUUUACUUGGUUUCUGCAAUUGAAAGAUUUAAGUUAUUCUUCUGUAACACGUUACAUAUGAGAUGUUAGCUUUGGCCGACAGAAUCACUAGAUUUUAAAAGCUUUGCUUUCGUCAAAAAUCCUCUCGAUUGUCGUUGGGGUUUUGACAUCUGGUUACCGACUCGCUGAUCUCCAACACCCCAAUCCCCGUUUUUUUCUUUACGUUUACGGUGCUUUCUCUUAAGGUCCAUUCACCUAACGUUUUCAUCAGCCUUUGAUACAUUUCUGUACGCCGUUUAGUUCUAAAAUUAUCCAAUUUCAAUGUCCGCCGGAUUCACUUGUAGCAGCUUCGCGCAAUACAUUGACAAAGGAAAAUCUGGUGAGGAUGUCAUUCUAAUUAGUCUAAAAUUAAUUUAGUACUGCCUAGAGAGCUUUCUGGUGGUGGGAACGCCGAAAGGCGGAAUAUUACGGAUCUGCGCCGGGACACGCACCGGCGGCUUUGGAAUCGGUGACGGCAUAUGAACGCGCUGUUUGAGGAAGACACGUCUACCCCGCGGGAGUUCAAGGACGGCACAAACGUGACGGUAAAUACCGAACGGCUAAUACCAGAAUCCUCUAAGGACUUAGAGCUGAAGUAUCAUGGGCCAUUCCCUAUCAUGAACCGAGUGACUCUGUACAGCCAGGCCCCCUGCCGGCAACUGACUGUGAACGGCAAGGAUAUUCGGCGAUAUGUUGAAUACAUACUCCGGUAGCGCGGUCGAAUGUAAAGAUACACGAGCGCUAGUCGUAUUUUAAUUGGGCAGGUUAUAAUAGGUAAAUGCGGCGCAGAUCUAUGUAUGACGGCUGCAGGAAGCAGAUUAUACCGCAGUUCACUGGUAGCAGGUAGUAAUACUACAUAUGUGUAUAUAUAGUCAUUAUAUUUAACUACCACUUACCGCAGUUGAAGUAUCAACUCAAGACCUGGCCAUUCACUAGUCAUCUUCAAAAACUAUUUAUCUACAAAGGGGUCCAGCGAGAUUAAACUUUGAGCAGACAGCGGUUCAACGAUCGUGGGAAGACAAACGCUUAGGAAGGCAAAAAGGAUGGAAACUGCAAAAAAACGCAAUUAUUUUUAAACAGAUUAACCGUUGCAAUUUAUGCGAAGGAGCCGAUUGGUAACUGGCAUUCCCCCCUUCAAAACGAUCGUUAAGUUUCGUAUAAAACUCGGCUGUAUUCAAAAUGGUUUUUUAAGCCCGUCAAAUCUAAGCCCUAAGGAUUUCAAGAUUUGUCUCAUAAAAAUAUUACUCCGAUUUUUAGAAGCUGCAUAAAAACUGGCAAUAACGUAGGCCGUCGAUAUCGGUAAAAAAGCAAACUGUGAAUCUCGUUUGCGCUUCGCCCAGCGCGAAUAACGGGCCAAUAGCUAAACUUUGUUCAAAUUUCGAAAGCGAGGCGCUCUUCUUUGUCAAGGCUAAUUUUUUUUAUUUUGGUUUAAAAAGAAUUGGCCUUCUUGUGGCACCAGGAAAGCGGGCAAACGCAUGCCCACUACGACAAUUCAUGAAAGUUUAUAUACAUAAAAAAAAAGACCGCGAAGGAAAUGAGCAGCGAUUUAUUUUAUAUAACAACUGCUUCGUAGUUCUCCGCUUGCAAUGAAGUGUCUACUGUUGUUUAUUAAAUGCGUUGCCAAGCCCUCAGGGGCAAUCUCUUUUUUUCUCACAAUUCUUUACGUCGAUUUAUUACUCUGUGUAGAUUGAUUAGCAUUUAAAAAUUUUAAAUUCGAGCAUAAUUCUUUCACUAGUGAUAACGAUGGGUUGCUAAGUUCAGGUAACAUACAAAUAUAUAUACGACAUCACCAAACAAUAGAUGUUUAUAUAAAACAGCACAUGUCCAGUCUUUCACGUUCUACAGAUGUUUUACAAUUAACCUUCCUCCCCUUUAAACAAAUCAAGUGUUACGUUUCGCAAGUUCCGUAGGACCUUUGAAAUGCGUUCAUUUUCUACAAUGUCUACCUUUUGCAAAUUCAUAUAUUAAUCUGCCGAUUCAAUGAAGACACCUGUUGAAGAGAAAAGUUAACGUUAUCGCCGUACACUGGUCCGCUAUUAACAAAAUGGACGAAGAAAGUUUUGCCUUUUUUUAAACUAAACGUUUACAAAUAUGAUUAUAAUAAUUUCAUCUUUGUACGGGCAGGUUCGACCUUGCCAGAAGCUGUCGUGUGUCUGUACAAAGCGUUGUUUGUGUAUCUUGUCUGUUAAUGUGCGUUCCAGUUUAUUUGCAGAUUUCGCUGAAAAAGCUGCAUGCUGUGACAGUCUCUCCAGCGUUGACUGCAUCUCGAACACUGCAGAGAAAUUACCUCGACGUUAACCCUAUUCGCGACGUGGUGAUGCAGAUCCGUAAGACAUCUAACGGUUCUCAGGCAGGUAUUUCGAUUAGGCAAAUGGGCCUAUAAGAAGAUACACAAUUCUUCAUCGCUACAGAGCUUCUACCUGCUCGUGUUCUGGCUCCCGCCUUGGUUUACGCAGAGCGUUAACCCGGUUUCCGUCCUGCUGUCAAUCUUUUAUAUAGCAGGAGACAUAGUUUCCCUUAUAUUCGGGUAUCAGUGGUUCACACACAAGGGAACUUUUCCGUGGCAUCUAUUGUGCCUAUUUUAGCUAAUUCGAUCACGUAGACCUGAGCAAACCACUCUCGGUCAGGUGUAUUUAAUCACCCGAAGCCCGCACUGACGAUGAUAAUCCUAAUCAUCAUUCGAAGAGGAUAAAAUCCGGCAGGCAACCCAUGAUGACCAGAAAAUCUUUGCGCUCAUUUAACAAAAAAAAAAUCAUGACAACAAGACGAGAAUAGAUUUAGGCACGAGCCCAUGCUGUGUCUUGCGUGACCGUGAAGAUAAUGAAUUCAAUAGUUGAACAGAUAAUGAUCAGGACCAGUUGUUAACUUGGCUUAAAUUUGUGCAUCUCUAUGCUUAUUACAUUGAACGAUUUUGAGGGUCAGAAAAAGGCGUUCUCACACUGAUUUUAUUGGACACCAAGCUACCGAAGAUUCCUGAAUCAUUAGAGGUUGCAAAAGAAUGCCGUGGUCGUCGAAAGCUUUACCUUAACAGUAAAUAAUAAAAUUGCCAGGUAGUAAAUCGCUUGGACAAUGGUCAACCUGGCCCAUGGUGCCUCAAACACAUUCAGCAGACCAAUAUUCGAAUAGAUACCCAGAGGACGACUGCCCACACAGAAUAAUCACUGGAGGUCAACUUAACAUCACAUCCAUAGGACGUGUUUAAUAAAUAAACGACUAUAUUUUGUGACUGCUCUUACGCACGUAUCAAAACGUUUUAUUAGAUAGAAGAUGAUUCAAUAAAGCUAAGAGAAUUAACAAGUACGAGCAGUGGCUUCUUCUAAGUCUAUAACAACUAAAAAGCUAUUUUGCCUGCGCCAACAAUGCAACAACAUAUUAGAUCUACGUACGUACGUUCAAGGACAAUAUGAAUGAUAUAUGGCCUAUUUGAAAUUGUGCCGGUCGAUUUUAUCCGAACGGCGUCAACACCCUGAGCUAAUGGCUUCGGCUCAACGCAAACCGAUA